GAAAUGCGAUAAGUAAUGUGAAUUGCAGAAUUCAGUGAAUCAUCGAAUCUUUGAACGCACAUUGCGCCCGCCAGUAUUCUGGCGGGCAUGCCUGUUCGAGCGUCAUUUCAACCAUCAAGCCCCCGGCUUGUGUUGGGGACCUGCGGCUGCCCGCAGGCCCUGAAAAACAGUGGCGGGCUCGCUGUCACACCGAGCGUAGUAGCAUACAUUCUCGCUCAGGGCGUGCUGAGGGUUCCGGCCGUUAAACGACCUUCAUAACCCAAGGUUGACCUCGGAUCAGGUAGGAAGACCCGCUGAACUUAAGC
This 305-nucleotide unclassified non-coding RNA is filed under the name plant metagenome. RNAcentral describes it as "partial contains 5.8S ribosomal RNA, internal transcribed spacer 2, and large subunit ribosomal RNA". The stretch from base 1 to 105 matches the Rfam family "5.8S ribosomal RNA", at positions 50 to 154 of the family's 154-position model. The record is from RNAcentral.